Molecule: long non-coding RNA, 650 nt
Organism: Cucumis melo (muskmelon)
Lineage: Eukaryota; Viridiplantae; Streptophyta; Magnoliopsida; Cucurbitales; Cucurbitaceae
Exons: 3
Source: RefSeq, a predicted model, not a curated record
GCAGUUCUUCGCCUUGCAACUUGUCUUCGAUCAUUUCUCCAGUCAAAACAAGGGAAGACACCUUCAUCCCUAGGAGUUUAGUGAGCAUCUUUCAGCUUUCCGAACUCAUACUCAACUUCAAGCCUCAACCACCGCUACCGGAACUGAAACUCCUCCGCGCGGUCUCACAGCUAUUGCUUCCUCUCUGGGCCGAUUCAAAGGCGGAAACUGAGAUGUCAACAUGGAUCACCUUGCUUCUCAUACGAAGGCUUAGUCUCUUUUGCUCUGCUUACUUUGUCCCACUCCUCUUCUCUCUCCUUUAGAAUCGAGUUCCUUCGCACCUGGGCUGGCUGGUUAACCUAUUCUCAACGGUCUCGACUUCUAACCUCUGAGCGACUAGGUUCAACGGAGGAUAUUUUCCCCUCUGAAAUCCGGAGCUUGAUAUGGCCGGAAGAGAAGAGUACCGAAUAUUUGUCGGUGGUUUGUCGUGGGACAUCACGGAGCGUCAGCUUGAGAACGCCUUCAAUCGUUUCGACAAAUGGUGAUUAAGGGGGUUUCCCAUGUACAAAGUAGAAGAAUGGGCAGUAAACUGAAGUUUGAACUUGAGAGAUUUCUCAGUUUUGAUUUGUGUUCUUCUCCCUAUACUCAAACAAAUAAACACAAAGAAGGAC